Molecule: long non-coding RNA, 4936 nt
Filed under: Homo sapiens (human)
Lineage: Eukaryota; Metazoa; Chordata; Mammalia; Primates; Hominidae
Description: HSALNT0381613
Source: RNAcentral
GUCAGUCACCUUACAGGCCAAUAGGACUAGUAUUAGAAUUAAGUAAAAUGCUAAGGAAUACUAAGACAAUAGUAACAUUCCAUAUGUUUCCGGCCCAGUCAGAAAUCCAGCAUGUGUGUCUUAGUGAGUUGGUCUUAACAUGUUUGAGAAUGAAGGGUAGCCAUUCUACCAUUAAACAGCCACUAAAGAGAGCCCUUUCCUAAAAACAUUAUCUCCUGGAAGAACAUUGAGCUCUUUUCAUCCUUCUGAAACGAUGCAAAUUGCAAAUGGGAUCAAGAUCAAGAUCAUAAACAACAAGGAAAACCAAGGAAUCAUCACAGGCUGGGGGAGACUAAGUAGACAACACAACUCAAUGCAAUGUGGAAUCCUAGAACAGAGAAAGGACGCUGGCAGAAGAAUGAGUCAAUCCAAUAAGCAGGGCCAAGACUGAUAACGAAUGGCCCGUGGGAAGCGCACGAAGUCCAACGUGAAUCAACGAUAGCACUAAUGAAAUUGCUUCAAGUUCUAGAGCAGAAGGGAGAACAAAGUGGAUCCCGUCUCCAGGCAAGGGCUCCCCCGUUCCCAUGGUGUGGAGAAGCCUGCCAAGAGCCGAACCGCGGCCUGAGUUCUAAGCACCGCCGGUCAUGUGGCUCACGAGGAGCCCAUCCAUCUUCCUGCACCUCAGGUUUGCCAGAUGGAAAAUAAGGGAUGAGGGUUAACUCUCUGGUGGUCCCUUCCAAAUCUCUCAUUUCUCCCUCUGGUUUCAUUGGCAGAUCUAUAUUCACUACAGACAAGGAAUAACUCUGUAGGUAACCUCUCAUUCUAAACCGGGCUCCGUCAGGUGAGGCUGAGAGAAGGACAUUCACUGGGAACCGUCAAGAUGUCAAAAAAUAUCAAUCCCAUGGGCCAUGUUUCCAAUCCUCCUACCUCCUACCCAGACGAACUCAUUACGAAACAGGUUUGUCCUGGAUCCCAUCCAAAAAGACCUGGUGAAGUCAAGCACAACGAGGAGGUUCCCACUUCUCAGGUGUCUCUCCAUGCACAUCUCAAUGCCUUAGGGAGAGGGUAUAACCAGGGAAGAGCCCACCACCACACGCUGAAGGGAAGAUCCCUCCCAGGGGGUUCAAGGGAGGCUGGAGAGUGGUACUGCUUUGGCUGCUGCUUGUUUUGUGUGGUAUCAGGGACAUAUUCCACAAGGAUGUGAGUAGACUCGAAGAGAUGCUCAAAUGACUCAGAGCAUUUGAAAGAUUUUCCACUCUGUUUUAUAAACGCAACAGGGCCAGACUAGAGGAAGCAAGUGAGACGCUCAUCUCAGGCGCAGGAUUUAAGGGGAUCCCAAACAACUCAGCCAUCUAGAUAAAUAACAUUUUAGUGCAAAUUUAAAAAAAUUGAUAUGGAUGCAAACAAUCCAUGAUGAGCAAAAUACCAAAAUGUUAAAUAAAGAGAGCAGCAGUCUAGGUAUAAGCAGACAGCCAGGUUCUUUUAAAAGAGUGGGUCUGGCUCGUGUAAAAUAAACCAUUGUAACAUCUUCCAAUCCCACUUUAAAUUUAGAUCUAGGAAGAUAACCUAGAUCUAGGAGACUUGAGUGCUGAUGAUUUACCCACAUUCUCAUCUUUGUCAUAUCCACAUCUGCAUUUGCUAAACAUUCUCAUCAUGGAUGUUCGGGAAUGAGCAAUACCAGCCGCAGAAUUGUACUAGGAGGAUAUGCCAACAAAAGGUACGCAGCUUCCAUCCUUUGAAACUAGACUGAACAGAAAUUUUCAAGGACGACUGUAGGAAAAUUCAUGUCCUGGAAAGAAGUAUUACCCAAAAAUGUUCAAUUCUAAAACGAUAUUUCUUUGAAAUAAUUAUUUAUUUGAGUAGAGAUAAAGCUUUGGCCUGCAUUAUAUUCUCUCAAAAAAAAAAAAAAAGACAACUACUAUAUAUACUGAUACCUAUUUAUUUUCUGGAAGUGUAGUUCAGCUGAUGCCACCCCCAACUCAAAAACCUCAGAGGGCUCCCGACUGCCUGUAAACUUAAAUUCAAAUUCCAGAGCCCAGUAAUCAAGAGGCUUACUCUCCAUACUAAUUCCUAUGAUUUCCCUUAACUCCUCCUUCUUUCACUCACCCGCCAGCAGCCCUGUCCAUUCUCCUUACCCAGGCUUUCCAGCCUUCCUGCCUUUGCUGAGGCUCUUCCCUCCUAGGAGCAGGAAGGCCCUUCUCUCACCACCUGCUAGCCCAUCUCUCCUUUUCUAAAUCUUAUUCAUUCUUCCCAUCUCAAUUCUAAAACUGCCUUCUCUGCGAAGCCUUAGAACUCUGUUAGGUGCUGAAUUAUCAGACAAAGAAAAGUUAGCAAGUGAUGGCCCCAAGUAGCUUUUGCAUUUUAAUUUAACCCUAAAUUAACCCAAAUGCUUAAUUUACCAAAAAUGCCUCAUUUUCAAAGCAUACUGAUUAUUCCUUCUCUGCUCUCGGGAGCAGUGCCAAUAGGGGCAGGAAAGAAAGGGAAAAAAAAAUGAGAAAAAAAUAAAGCUUCUUUUCCUCAUGGACUCCUGGAACAAAGCAGAUAUUCAAUAAAUGAAUACACGAACGAAUCCAAUUUUUUAUGGACAAGAAGUUAGUCCAAUGGCCCCAGGAAUCAGAUACAGAUGUACAAGAUAAAUAUUCUCUGUAUCCCAAAAAACCCACACAAAGAAACACACACUACUCUCGGCCCAAGCAGGGAAAGAAAGAAAAAUCCCGUUUUGACUCCUGAGGCUUAACUGGGAUUCCCAGCUCUCCCAGACCUGUGCUGCCUGCCCUGGGUGAUUUGUUUCCGAAACUAAGGACCUGGUGCUCAAAGCCUGAUUUUCUCCAUGCAAAGCCAUUCAAAACCAUCUUAGUCACACAGAUAGAAGGUGAAAAUAUAUUGCAAGCAAACUACUGGACUGAGGUCUAGUUUAUCAAACCAAUUACACUGAGAUGUUAUGGGAAGGGGGGGAAAUGUAAUCACAUAUGACAAGGAUUAUCAAAACUGCUUACACAGUAAAUCAGGAAACUGAUAACAGGCUGACAAUGGCAUAUACCUGACUGAGGAAUUUCAGGAUUCCCCAGGCUUGUAAAACAGAAAUAACAACACAGAACGAGCUGUGCCGUGCUGUCGGGGACUGGGAUACACCUGGGUGAAGGGUGGAGGGUGAGAAAGGCCUGGGACAGGUGAAGCAAGAGUCUGUCUCAAGGACCCUUCUCCAAGACCUUGUUUUGCAGGGUGCCCUUUCUUGUUACACUCUUCAGAAACAUCUUAAUGGGUCCUGACCUUGGUCAACACAGAAUUAGAGCAGUAAGUCAGGGGUGACAUGAGGAAACUCCUUGGGGAACAGAAAGAGACACAGAGAAAUCAAAGUUGUGGUAAGGACUGGGGUCUAUCAGAGCUCCACCUUGACAGGAGAGUCGGGAAAAGAGUCAUUCUGCUUCGUUUCUGGCAUCAACUGACUUUCUGAGGAAUGGCCUAGAAAGCUAUAUGGGGCUUCACGAGUAGGGACGUGCAGGCACACUGAGAAGCUCUCGCUCCUUUUUGGACCCUGCCUUUCAGGGUGUUGAGAGGCCAUCCAGGGCAGGCAAAGGCAUGCAGAGUGGUGUCAUGUUGUACCCCAAAUAAAAGGGCAAUAAAUUAACUUUCUGGAACAUAGAGUCACCGCAGGAUCCAUCGGGGCCCAGAGCAAAAGCAAACUGCAGGAGAUACCAAAUGAAUCACUGACAGACAAGACACCAAAAUAGAGGCCCUAAAUAAAGCAACUGACCUGGAAAAGGAAAUAAAUACCUACAUUUUAAAGGAGGGCUCUCCUAGUCUUCCCUGUGCCUCACUAGGUUUGGGGUUUUGUUCACAAUUGUGGCACCUUGAAACACUCUAAGAAGUUUGGCUGACUCAGGAGGGCACAGGCUUAAACUUUAUCAACAUCGGAGACGGCCGUGAUUUGCAUCAAGUUCAAUGCUGUCCUUUUGGCAGUUGUUGCACUUAAUUGAGUGAAAAAAGCUGUCAGUCUAAUGCCCCAAUCCCAAGGUAGAUUCACUCUGAACUAACCAUCUGCCAGGGCUUCUCCCAGGGUAGUCAACACUUAUCAUCCAGAGGACUGGAUUCACUUUCUCAUAAUUAGAUCAUUCCUGAAUUAAAUUGACGGUCCCAGGGAAAAAAAAAUGCAAAGUGUGUUUUGAGACCAGAAAGCGGAAGCCGACUUGUUUUAACAAAUGCAGAAGACUACAUAUUUUUCCACAGCAACAGAGUGGCAAAUAAAUGACUUUUCCUAAAUUAGGCUGCACAACAAUUAUUAUCUUUCAUGCCAUCCUUUGAAUUAUAUUCAGGUUUUUAUUUGGAAAGUUAAGGCAUUUCUUGGAAGCUCCACACACAAACCCAAAGAAUGGGUAGCUAGCUGUUCACAGUCCCAGGUACCCAAGCAAAGUCAGGCCAGGCUGACCAAUCUUAUCAAAUGCUGUGAAUGUCAAAGUCUCUGUGCAUUUGCUGGCACACCCAUGAACCUGCUCCUCACUCAAAAUAAAGGGAAAGAAUUACACGCAGUUUCUUGUAUCCCAAGGUAGCCAUUUGUUGGAGAGGCCUGGGUUAGGGGAGUCAGGUCAAACAAACCACUAAGACAUAAACCUGGAACCAGGUCCCAAAAGCAACACAAUCAUGCUCUAAGCAAAAACAGGUGAAGAUAUGAAACAGGAGGAGAGUCUGAAGGUUUCUCUGUAAACAUGAUUUCAUUCCCUGACAGUAAUUGGGUGAUUUGCCUCGAGUCAGAUUCAGUCUCGUGGGCACUUAACUGCACAAGGUUUUUCAAACAUUGCACAUUAACUCAAAUUUUUCCAGGAAAUAUUUCUGAAUUAACUAAAGUGCUUAGUAAUUUUUUUUCUAUUGUUCUUCAGAAGUUUUCACACCACUUGGUUAUCACUAUUUUUCUGAUGAAACACAGAGACAGAAACCAGUGAAACACUGUCUCAUAGGGCCU